GAUGAACGCUGGCGGUGUGCCUAAUACAUGCAAGUCGAGCGAACAGACGAGGAGCUUACUCCUCUGACGUUAGCGGCGGACGGGUGAGUAACACGUGGGUAACCUACCUAUAAGACUGGGAUAACUUCGGGAAACCGGAGCUAAUACCGGAUAACAUGUUGAACCGCAUGGUUCAACAGUGAAAGACGGUCUUGCUGUCACUUAUAGAUGGAUCCGCGUCGCAUUAGCUAGUUGGUAAGGUAACGGCUUACCAAGGCAACGAUGCGUAGCCGACCUGAGAGGGUGAUCGGCCACACUGGAACUGAGACACGGUCCAGACUCCUACGGGAGGCAGCAGUAGGGAAUCUUCCGCAAUGGGCGAAAGCCUGACGGAGCAACGCCGCGUGAGUGAAGAAGGUCUUCGGAUCGUAAAACUCUGUUAUUAGGGAAGAACAAAUGUGUAAGUAACUAUGCACGUCUUGACGGUACCUAAUCAGAAAGCCACGGCUAACUACGUG
Molecule: ribosomal RNA, 497 nt
Filed under: uncultured bacterium
Lineage: Bacteria
Description: partial 16S ribosomal RNA
Rfam family: Bacterial small subunit ribosomal RNA
Source: RNAcentral